AAAAUGCUUGUCAUUUUUUUGUAUUUCCUGCUCAUCAUGCGUCCAGAUGUAAUCAAAUCAGUACCUGCCAUACCCAAAAGUCACCACAACACCAUGCGCCGUUGAGCAAUUGAACUAGUGGCCAGGCAAGCCAUCACAGUGUCUGGUCAGAUGUUCUCAUCCAGACCUUAGACCCUGUGAUGGCAAACAGUAAUGGUGUUUCCCCUCUGUUCUUUUCCAUCUGGGAAACACCAUGUCAUACAUCACACUGAGAUUCCAUCUCUCUCAGAGAACCCGUUCGCGGCUCUCUCUGCGCAUGCGCGAAGUACGCGCAUGUGCGGUGUAUGUAUCCCGGCCAGCCGGAUGACUGUCAAUCAAUCUGACGUCAUCCGCGCGGGGUAUUUAAAUUCAGCAAGAGCCUGUCACAUUCAGGUUCUUUUGCUGAAUGCUAACCAGGGCGGACGUCCAGCGUGGCCGCACGCCGAUGCAUCCCUUUGGAUUUCUCUGUGAUUGAGCACAGUAACAGUACAAUCCUCACCACUGCCGCAGUGCCAUCUAGUGGCCGUUUUUGAGUUAACCCUCAUUCCAGCUUCCAAAUCCAUUUGCUAAUUAAGGAGAGGACUUUUGCGGACAUUCUUCCACCUGUUGUCCUCACAUUGCUUUUUCAACCGUGCGUUCUUUUGGCCCUUUGAACUGUUCCAUUCACGUCCAGGUUAUUAUACUUCCUUACAAGAUACCCCAACUAGUUCUACACUGCCCAACGGUGUAUGGUGAAUGUGGGUAUGACUUAUAGUACCAGACUCCACCCCACAAGGUGAAUGGUCUGAUUACAAUUUGCAUCUUGGACGCUGUUGAGCAUUCUUCAAACUUACUAAGCACCGUUUAUCGAAGCUCCCGAAGAAGCGACGACGUCGCGAAACAUGUCGAGCUGAACCCAAUUUUAAUCAGAACUCAUCCUGUACCAUCUUUCGAAGUUACAAUGCCACCCAGCGCUUCUAGUGUAUUCUAUACAUCCAGCCCUGUGGCUAAUAGCGGUGUCUUCAGAAAGUGAUAGGAUUUGAGCUCUUUUGUGUAUUCUAUUAUCUACUUUUUUCCUUUUUUCUUAUUAUUUAGAGCAAUUGUUUUGUAUACCUGUGUUUUGUAUUUUCUAAAUUAAAAUAUUUAUAAUCUUAA
Molecule: long non-coding RNA, 1152 nt
Organism: Rana temporaria (common frog)
Lineage: Eukaryota; Metazoa; Chordata; Amphibia; Anura; Ranidae
Exons: 5
Source: RefSeq, a predicted model, not a curated record